This 486-nucleotide ribosomal RNA is filed under the name uncultured bacterium. RNAcentral describes it as "partial 16S ribosomal RNA". It matches the Rfam family "Bacterial small subunit ribosomal RNA", at positions 28 to 523 of the family's 1533-position model. The record is from RNAcentral.
AAUGAACGUUGGCGGCGUGGAUUAGGCAUGCAAGUCGAGCGGCAGCAGGCCCGCAAGGGCGCUGGCGAGCGGCGAAAGGGAGAGUAACACGCGGGUACCUACCCUCGGGACCGGGAUAGCUGCGGGAAACUGCAAUUAAUACCGGAUAAUGUCCCCGGACCAAAGGUGUGAUUCCGCCUGGGGAGGGGCCCACGUCCUAUCAGCUAGUUGGUGAGGUAAUGGCUCACCAAGGCAACGACGGGUACGGGGUGUGAGAGCAGGCCCCCGCUCACUGGGACUGAGAUACUGCCCAGACACUUACGGGUGGCUGCAGUCGAGAAUCUUCCGCAAUGGGCGAAAGCCUGACGGAGCGACGCCGCGUGCGGGAUGAAGGCCUUCGGGUUGUAAACCGCUGUCAGAGGGGAACAAAUUCAUGGGGGUUCUCCCCUGUGUUUGAGUGAUCCUCAGAGGAAGCACAGGCUAAGUCCGUGCCAGCAGCCGCCGUAA